UGAUAGAUUGUCUGAUAGAAGAGAAGUGC
RNAcentral lists this non-coding RNA (29 nucleotides) under Mus musculus (house mouse). Lineage: Eukaryota; Metazoa; Chordata; Mammalia; Rodentia; Muridae. The record is from RNAcentral.